CGAAAUGCUGCCGCCAGAUCCUGGAAAAGAGGCUGUGGUUCACCGCGGGCAGCGCGACGGUUGCUCAGAAAUCACCAAAUGUUUGAGGAAGAACAGGAAACUCCACUGCUGUCGACGUUGUCCGUGGGCAAGAGGAGAAGCCCGGACAGCUCUACUUUGCGACCUCCCGAGGUACUGCUGAAAAUGUAUGCUUUGUCUUUCUUUCCCGCUGCAAAAAAACUCGAAACUUAACUUUUACUAGCUCAUCAACAGUUCUUGUAAGGCCAUGAAAAUGUCUACUUGAGCUUAGUCAUUCGUGCUUUUACUUUCGAGCAGGUUGCCCUGUAGCAUAUAUAUGGGUAUUUAUAUAAAACACGGCAGCCCUGUUUAUGCACAAAAUUGUACUACUUCCUUUGAGAACUUGUGAUAAAUUAGUGAACACAUGCUUAAGCCUGGUCCCAGUCCUAAACAGCUUCUCUUGUAGUUUCAUCAUGGCCUGAAGCCCAACCAGCAAGAACAUACCGAAAGAAAGGCUUCAAAGGACGUAUUGCACACAAAAUUUCGACCUUGUUUGAACCGUUGAAAACAUGUAAGAGAGUGUGCUUCAGGCAUCUAUUGCGGAAAUGCUGUUGGGAGCUUUCUGUACAACACGCAGGGUGCCUACUUGUUACUGGUUAAGUAGUAACCCUUUAUAGAACCCAUUUUCUAUAUUCUGUUUUAAUUUAUUUGCUGUGGGUGUCCAGAAACGACGAUGGUUUCCCUUAAGUUAGUCGCAAGUGAAUCUCGAAUAUGAUCAGUGUACCAACAGAAACUAAAGCCGUUAGGGUGUUCCAGUAGAUGCUUCAUCAACCGCGCAGUUCAACUCGCGAAUCCAGAAAGCAGCCGGAUAUAUACUGAGCGCUAAUGCGGGUUAAGAGGAACAUUUACCAAUGCAGUUGCUAAGCGCAUGGGGUUGGGAUCACUUUCUUUGGGUUUAACUAAAUGAACCUAUAUUGAGCUUGUUGCGUUAAAUAAAUAAAUACCAAUGUGUAGACUGUGAAAAGACAUUUGAUGGGCGCUAUCAUUUCGUUUCUGCAAAAAACUGCCGAAGUUCGAAAAAAUUUUGACUGUACUAUACAGCUCUGUUGUACAUAUAGCUACGACCUAUAUUAAAACAUAAUGCUACAAUUCUUCAAGCAGUUAUUUGGUACGUCACAAGAGCCUAAAAUCGACAUUGGGUGCGAGUACAUAUGGUGGCACCACCCCGUGAGAGUGCCCUCUUUCCGGGUCAUUUUUGUAAAUGCCUUAUGAAAGAGGCAAUUUCACCACUGCCAUAUAAAGGUUCUAGGCGAACUGAAAACAGAGAAUGCGUCAGAAAUGCUGUCUCCUCAUACCGUACAAUGCAGGGCUACCAUGUGCUGCUGUUUUAUUCACUUCCGCCAAGCCGGCUUGCGUUGAAGGAGCAGUCGCCGACGUAACUCUGUGCCAAAUAUUUUUGUGUUGUGCUGCUGCCUGUACAGGCGAAGCCAACGACGACUCAGUGCGGUGGCCACACGGAUUCGGAGUCACAGACUUUGCGUGUGCAUAUAGUACGUCAGCGCGCGAUCUUUUGAUUUAGCUGUGAUUGACACCACCUGUGUGUUCGCUUUUUUCUUCAUUGUUUGUUAUACUGUUUUUGUUUAAA
This is a long non-coding RNA of Dermacentor albipictus, 1642 nucleotides long. RefSeq lists it as uncharacterized. NCBI's taxonomy places the organism in Eukaryota, Metazoa, Arthropoda, Arachnida, Ixodida, Ixodidae. The record is from RefSeq and is a predicted model, not a curated record.